RNAcentral lists this ribosomal RNA (442 nucleotides) under uncultured bacterium. Its description in RNAcentral is "partial 16S ribosomal RNA". It matches the Rfam family "Bacterial small subunit ribosomal RNA", at positions 338 to 795 of the family's 1533-position model. The record is from RNAcentral.
CCUACGGGGAGCAGCAGUGGGGAAUAUUGGGCAAUGGGCGCAAGCCUGACCCAGCAACGCCGCGUGAAGGAAGAAGGCUUUCGGGUUGUAAACUUCUUUUGUCCGGGAAGAGUAGAAGACGGUACCUGACGAAUAAGCCACGGCGAACUACGUGCCAGCAGCCGCGGUAAUACGUAGGGGGCAAGCGUUGUCCGGAUUUACUGGGUGUAAAGGGCGUGUAGCCGGGUUGACAAGUCAGAUGUGAAAUCCUGCGGCUUAACCGCAGAACUGCAUUUGAAACUGUUGAUCUUGAGUACUGGAGAGGCAGACGGAAUGCGUGGUGUAGCGGUGAAAUGCGUAGAUAUCAGGCGGAACACCAGUGGCGAAGGCAGUCUGCUGGACAGCAACUGACGGUGAGGCGCGAAAGCGUGGGGAGCAAACAGGAUUAGAUACCCCAGUAGUC